This 443-nucleotide ribosomal RNA is filed under the name uncultured bacterium. RNAcentral describes it as "SSU rRNA". It matches the Rfam family "Bacterial small subunit ribosomal RNA", at positions 26 to 518 of the family's 1533-position model. The record is from RNAcentral.
AGAGCGAACGCUGGCGGCAGGCCUAACACAUGCAAGUCGAGCGCCCCGCAAGGGGAGCGGCAGACGGGAGAGUAACACGUGGGAACGUACCCUUCAGUUCGGAACAACCCAGGGAAACUUGGGCUAAUACCGGAUACGUCCGUAAGGAGAAAGAUUUAUCGCUGAAGGAUCGGCCCGCGUCUGAUUAGCUUGUUGGUGAGGUAACGGCUCACCAAGGCUACGAUCAGUAGCUGGUCUGAGAGGAUGAUCAGCCUCACUGGGACUGAGACACGGCCCAGACUCCUACGGGAGGCAGCAGUGGGGAAUAUUGGACAAUGGGCGCAAGCCUGAUCCAGCCAUGCCGCGUGGGUGAUGAAGGCCCUAGGGUUGUAAAGCCCUUUCGGCGGGGAAGAUAAUGACGGUACCCGCAGAAGAAGCCCGGCUAACUUCGUGCCAGCAGCCGC